Molecule: non-coding RNA, 21 nt
Filed under: Arabidopsis thaliana (thale cress)
Lineage: Eukaryota; Viridiplantae; Streptophyta; Magnoliopsida; Brassicales; Brassicaceae
Source: RNAcentral
UGCCGUCAACCGCCACGUCCC